This is a long non-coding RNA of Astyanax mexicanus (Mexican tetra), 572 nucleotides long. RefSeq lists it as uncharacterized. The transcript is spliced from 3 exons. NCBI's taxonomy places the organism in Eukaryota, Metazoa, Chordata, Actinopteri, Characiformes, Acestrorhamphidae. The record is from RefSeq and is a predicted model, not a curated record.
AGGUUUAGGAUUAAAGCGAUACUUCUGCAGGUUUAGGAUUAAAGCGAUACUUCUACAGGUUUAGGAUUAAAGCGAUACUUCUACAGGUUUAGGAUUAAAGCGAUACUUCUACAGGUUUAGGAUUAAAGCGAUACUUCUACAGGUUUAGGAUUAAAGCAAUACUUCUACAGGUUUAGGAUUAAAGCGAUACUUCUACAGGUUUAGGAUUAAAGCGAUACUUCUACAGGUUUAGGAUUAAAAAUAUACUUCUGCAGGUUUAGGAUUAAAGCUAUACUUUUUCUGCUUUAGGAUUAAAAAUAUAUUUUUGCAGAUUUAGGAUUAAAGCGAUACUUUUACAGGUUUAGGAUUAAAAAUAUACUUCUGCAGGUUUAGGAUUAAAGCGUUAAAGCUACAUUUUUUACAAUGAAAGGUCUACAGGUUUAAAUGAUACUUCUCCAGCUUAAAGCUAUUCCCAUAGAGCUUAAAGUGAUACUUCUGCGUGAUCACAGUGUACUUUUUUAUUCGUGGAUGAAUACGUGUGAUAAUUGAAUUAAAGUGAUAAAUCUACGUGUGUGUGUGUGUGUGUGUGUGUG